Molecule: ribosomal RNA, 429 nt
Filed under: Chloroflexota bacterium
Lineage: Bacteria; Bacillati; Chloroflexota
Description: Chloroflexi bacterium partial 16S ribosomal RNA
Rfam family: Bacterial small subunit ribosomal RNA
Source: RNAcentral
UGGGGAAUAUUGCACAAUGGGCGCAAGCCUGAUGCAGCCAUGCCGCGUGUAUGAAGAAGGCCUUCGGGUUGUAAAGUACUUUCAGUUGGGAGGAAGGUGGUAAGGUUAAUAACCUUAUCAAUUGACGUUACCGACAGAAGAAGCACCGGCUAACUCCGUGCCAGCAGCCGCGGUAAUACGGAGGGUGCAAGCGUUAAUCGGAAUUACUGGGCGUAAAGCGCACGCAGGCGGUUGAUUGAGUCAGAUGUGAAAUCCCCUGGCUUAACCCGGGAAUUGCAUCUGAUACUGGGCAGCUAGAGUCUUGAAGAGGGGGGUAGAAUUCCAUGUGUAGCGGUGAAAUGCGUAGAGAUGUGGAGGAAUACCGGUGGCGAAGGCGGCCCCCUGGACAAAGACUGACGCUCAGGUGCGAAAGCGUGGGGAGCAAACAGG